CCCUAGCCCCGAUAGAAGUGGAAAUCCUUUUGUGGCGGGGUUCGCCACAAAAGAUUGAAACGAUAGCGGGAUUAGCU
RNAcentral lists this small RNA (77 nucleotides) under Flavobacterium sp. ov086. RNAcentral describes it as "Flavo-1 RNA". It matches the Rfam family "Flavo-1 RNA". Lineage: Bacteria; Pseudomonadati; Bacteroidota; Flavobacteriia; Flavobacteriales; Flavobacteriaceae. The record is from RNAcentral.